CCCAGCAAACACCUGACGUCGAUCCAACGUUGGAUAUAUAUUGGAUUUAUGUCACGACGUCGGAAGCCCUAAUUCCAACGUCUGUACAACGUCGGAAUUGCGACGUCGGAUAGAAACAUAAAUAGACGUCAAUGCGACGUCGGAUUUAGGUUAGAUUAAGGUCGGCGUUCUUUUGGAAUAGUUUCGCUGCAGUAAUCGCCCUUUGUUCUAAAUUAUGACCGCGCCAGGUGUCGUUUGAAAUAUUAUUUUUAGUUGCAUUUCAAAAUUAAUUCCUACUUUACUUUUUAUUUGAGUCAAUUACAAGUGCAAUUGUUUUUUGAAAAAAAUACAUUUAAGGGUGUAAUCGAUAAUAUACAAACUUAAAAAAAAAAUAAAUACAGAUAUUAUCCGAGAUUCAAAACGAGGCUACCAAAACCGCGUGUACGAAUUUAAAAGAGAAAGAAUUGGUUCACGAAAAUAAAUAUUAAAAGCAAAAUUCCAAAAAAAAGUUAUGUAUAUGUUGGUAGAAAUUAGAAAUGAGGUGGUAGCAUUAAAAGGCCGUCGUCAGGCACCACCGGAUGAAGAGACUGACAGCGGUAUUGGACAGGCCAAGACCUUGGAUGACUUCUAUGAAACUGAAGAGUUGAUAAAAAAUGCAGAGGAAAGAAGGCGUUUAGUGCAGAAACUUUCAUUGGUUGGAGGUGUGAAUGUGAAAGAUAAUGUUAAACGGAUUAUGGAAAAG
Long non-coding RNA from Ruditapes philippinarum (Manila clam), 721 nucleotides. RefSeq lists it as uncharacterized. The record is from RefSeq and is a predicted model, not a curated record. NCBI's taxonomy places the organism in Eukaryota, Metazoa, Mollusca, Bivalvia, Venerida, Veneridae. The transcript is spliced from 3 exons.